Long non-coding RNA from Solanum pennellii, 419 nucleotides. RefSeq lists it as uncharacterized. The record is from RefSeq and is a predicted model, not a curated record. The transcript has 2 exons. Lineage: Eukaryota; Viridiplantae; Streptophyta; Magnoliopsida; Solanales; Solanaceae.
ACUCAAUUAGAAAUAUAAAAAAUAGAAUCUCUCCCUUCUCUCUCUACACAAAACCUCCAUUGAAGGACCUUGAAGCUCCAAGAAGAGGAUCAAUUCUCAAAGAUUUCAACUCCAUUUUAUGGAUAAGUCUUCAUUAAGGUUUGGGCCAUUGAAGUGAUUCUAGUCCUUUCUUGAAGAAACUAGGAUUGCUAUUCCCAAUAGGUGAGUCCCCAAGGCUGAGGAUGGAGAUGUUUGAUUCUAAUUAUAGUUUCACUUUCCUUAGUUAAAUACUAUGUUGUAAUUCGUAUUAUAAGGCUUCUUAUUGAUGUAAGGGCUAAGUCCCUAUUUUCAUAUUCUUAUGUCUAGAUGGCAAUGUGUGACAAAUUAGUUUCUUUCUUAAUAUAUGAAGUGAAGUUGAACUUCAAAUGAAAAGUUUUAAA